UACAGAGGUCCCAAGCGUUGUUCGGAUUCACUGGGCGUAAAGGGUGCGUAGGCGGUCGGGUAAGUCUGAUGUGAAAUCUCACAGCUUAACUGUGAAACUGCAUUGGAUACUAUUCGGCUUGAGAGUUGGAGGGGGGACUGGAAUUCUUGGUGUAGCAGUGAAAUGCGUAGAUAUCGGGAGGAACACCAAUGGCGAAGGCAGCUCGCUGGGACGUUACUGACGCUGAGACGCGAAAGCGUGGGGAGCAAACAGG
RNAcentral lists this ribosomal RNA (253 nucleotides) under uncultured bacterium. Its description in RNAcentral is "partial 16S ribosomal RNA". It matches the Rfam family "Bacterial small subunit ribosomal RNA", at positions 524 to 776 of the family's 1533-position model. The record is from RNAcentral.